AUUGAACGCUGGCGGCAGGCCUAACACAUGCAAGUCGAACGGUAACAGGAAACAGCUUGCUGUUUCGCUGACGAGUGGCGGACGGGUGAGUAAUGUCUGGGAAACUGCCUGAUGGAGGGGGAUAACUACUGGAAACGGUAGCUAAUACCGCAUAACGUCGCAAGACCAAAGAGGGGGACCUUCGGGCCUCUUGCCAUCGGAUGUGCCCAGAUGGGAUUAGCUAGUAGGUGGGGUAACGGCUCACCUAGGCGACGAUCCCUAGCUGGUCUGAGAGGAUGACCAGCCACACUGGAACUGAGACACGGUCCAGACUCCUGCGGGAGGCAGCAGUGGGGAAUAUUGCACAAUGGGCGCAAGCCUGAUGCAGCCAUGCCGCGUGUAUGAAGAAGGCCUUCGGGUUGUAAAGUACUUUCAGCGGGGAGGAAGGGAGUAAAGUUAAUACCUUUGCUCAUUGACGUUACCCGCAGAAGAAGCACCGGCUAACUCCGUG
RNAcentral lists this ribosomal RNA (490 nucleotides) under uncultured bacterium. Its description in RNAcentral is "partial 16S ribosomal RNA". It matches the Rfam family "Bacterial small subunit ribosomal RNA", at positions 30 to 507 of the family's 1533-position model. The record is from RNAcentral.